This 433-nucleotide ribosomal RNA is filed under the name uncultured bacterium. Its description in RNAcentral is "partial 16S ribosomal RNA". It matches the Rfam family "Bacterial small subunit ribosomal RNA", at positions 29 to 507 of the family's 1533-position model. The record is from RNAcentral.
AACGAACGCUGGCGGCAUGCCUAACACAUGCAAGUCGAACGAGACCUUCGGGUCUAGUGGCGCACGGGUGCGUAACGCGUGGGAAUCUGCCCUUGGGUUCGGAAUAACAGUGAGAAAUUACUGCUAAUACCGGAUGAUGUCUUCGGACCAAAGAUUUAUCGCCCAGGGAUGAGCCCGCGUAGGAUUAGCUAGUUGGUGGGGUAAUGGCCUACCAAGGCGACGAUCCUUAGCUGGUCUGAGAGGAUGAUCAGCCACACUGGGACUGAGACACGGCCCAGACUCCUACGGGAGGCAGCAGUGGGGAAUAUUGGACAAUGGGCGAAAGCCUGAUCCAGCAAUGCCGCGUGAGUGAUGAAGGCCUUAGGGUUGUAAAGCUCUUUUACCCGGGAUGAUAAUGACAGUACCGGGAGAAUAAGCUCCGGCUAACUCCGUG